RNAcentral lists this ribosomal RNA (1398 nucleotides) under Potato purple top phytoplasma PPT-AK4. Its description in RNAcentral is "bacterial SSU rRNA". It matches the Rfam family "Bacterial small subunit ribosomal RNA". The record is from RNAcentral. Lineage: Bacteria; Bacillati; Mycoplasmatota; Mollicutes; Acholeplasmatales; Acholeplasmataceae.
AACGGGUGAGUAACACGUAAGUAACCUGCCUUUAAGACGAGGAUAACAACCGGAAACGGUUGCUAAGACUGGAUAGGAAACAAAAAGGCAUCUUUUUGUUUUUAAAAGACCUUCUUACGAAGGUAUGCUUAAAGAGGGGCUUGCGCCACAUUAGUUAGUUGGUAGAGUAAAAGCCUACCAAGACGAUGAUGUGUAGCUGGACUGAGAGGUUGAACAGCCACAUUGGGACUGAGACACGGCCCAAACUCCUACGGGAGGCAGCAGUAGGGAAUUUUCGGCAAUGGAGGAAACUCUGACCGAGCAACGCCGCGUGAACGAUGAAGUAUUUCGGUAUGUAAAGUUCUUUUAUUGAAGAAGAAAAAGUAGUGGAAAAACUAUAUUGACGUUAUUCAAUGAAUAAGCCCCGGCUAACUAUGUGCCAGCAGCCGCGGUAAGACAUAGGGGGCGAGCGUUAUCCGGAAUUAUUGGGCGUAAAGGGUGCGUAGGCUGUUAGAUAAGUCUAUAAUUUAAUUUCAGUGCUUAACGCUGUCUUGUUAUAGAAACUGUCUUGACUAGAGUGAGAUAGAGGCAAGCGGAAUUCCAUGUGUAGCGGUAAAAUGUGUAAAUAUAUGGAGGAACACCAGAAGCGUAGGCGGCUUGCUGGGUCUUUACUGACGCUGAGGCACGAAAGCGUGGGUAGCAAACAGGAUUAGAUACCCUGGUAGUCCACGCCGUAAACGAUGAGUACUAAGUGUCGGGGUAAAACUCGGUACUGAAGUUAACACAUUAAGUACUCCGCCUGAGUAGUACGUACGCAAGUAUGAAACUUAAAGGAAUUGACGGGACUCCGCACAAGCGGUGGAUCAUGUUGUUUAAUUCGAAGAUACACGAAAAAUCUUACCAGGUCUUGACAUACUCUGCAAAGCUAUAGAAAUAUAGUGGAGGUUAUCAGGGAUACAGGUGGUGCAUGGUUGUCGUCAGUUCGUGUCGUGAGAUGUUAGGUUAAGUCCUAAAACGAGCGCAACCCUUGUCGUUAAUUGCCAGCACGUAAUGGUGGGGACUUUAACGAGACUGCCAAUUAAACAUUGGAGGAAGGUGAGGAUUACGUCAAAUCAUCAUGCCCCUUAUGAUCUGGGCUACAAACGUGAUACAAUGGCUGUGACAAAGAGUAGCUGAAACGCGAGUUUUUAGCCAAUCUCAAAAAAGCAGUCUCAGUUCGGAUUGAAGUCUGUAACUCGACUUCAUGAAGUUGGAAUCGCUAGUAAUCGCGAAUCAGCAUGUCGCGGUGAAUACGUUCUCGGGGUUUGUACACACCGCCCGUCAAACCACGAAAGUUAGCAAUACCCGAAAGCAGUAGCUUAACUUCGCAAGAAGAGGGAACUGUCUAAGGUAGGGUUGAUGAUUGGGGUUAAGUCGUAA